GACGAACGCUGGCGGCGUGCUUAACACAUGCAAGUCGAACGGAAAGGCCCCGCUUUUGUGGGGUGCUCGAGUGGCGAACGGGUGAGUAACACGUGAGUAACCUGCCCUUGACUUUGGGAUAACUUCAGGAAACUGGGGCUAAUACCGGAUAGGAGCUCCUGCUGCGUGGUGGGGGUUGGAAAGUUUCGGCGGUUGGGGCUGGACUCGCGGCUUAUCAGCUUGUUGGUGGGGUAGGGGCUUACCAAGGCUUUGACGGGUAGCCGGCCUGAGAGGGUGACCGGCCACAUUGGGACUGAGAUACGGCCCAGACUCCUACGGGAGGCAGCAGUGGGGAAUAUUGCACAAUGGGCGGAAGCCUGAUGCAGCAACGCCGCGUGCGGGAUGACGGCCUUCGGGUUGUAAACCGCUUUCGCCUGUGACGAAGCGUGAGUGACGGUAAUGGGUAAAGAAGCACCGGCUAACUACGUG
This 468-nucleotide ribosomal RNA is filed under the name uncultured bacterium. Its description in RNAcentral is "partial 16S ribosomal RNA". It matches the Rfam family "Bacterial small subunit ribosomal RNA", at positions 28 to 507 of the family's 1533-position model. The record is from RNAcentral.